AUUGAAAGCUGGCGGCAGGUCUAACAGCUGCAAGUCGAGCGGAGCGACGGACGCGUGAGUAAUGUCUAGGAAUCUGCCUGGUAGAGGGGGAUAACGUCCGGAAAGGGGCGCUAAUAAAGCAUACGAGCAGAGGAGCCUAGGUAGGAUUAGCUAGUUGGUGGGGUAAAGGCCUACCAAGGCGACGAUCCGUAACUGGUCUGCGAGGAUGAUCAGUCACACUGGAACUGAGACACGGUCCAGACUCCUACGGGAGGCAGCAUUGGGGAAUAUUGGACAAUGGGCGAAAGCCUGAUCCAGCCAUGCCGCGUGUGUGAAGACGGUCUUCGGAUUGUAAAGCACUUUAAGUUGGGAGGCGUUACCAACAGCAUAAUCACCGGCUAACUUCGUGCCAGCAGCCGCGGUAAUUC
This 407-nucleotide ribosomal RNA is filed under the name uncultured bacterium. RNAcentral describes it as "partial 16S ribosomal RNA". It matches the Rfam family "Bacterial small subunit ribosomal RNA", at positions 30 to 526 of the family's 1533-position model. The record is from RNAcentral.